UUAACUUAAAUUUGUAUGCAGUUGGAACAGCGCCCCUGGCGGCAAACGUUCCAACUCCAUACAAAGUUGAGUUA
RNAcentral lists this microRNA precursor (74 nucleotides) under Bombyx mori (domestic silkworm). RNAcentral describes it as "mir-2807 microRNA precursor family". It matches the Rfam family "mir-2807 microRNA precursor family". The record is from Rfam by way of RNAcentral. Lineage: Eukaryota; Metazoa; Arthropoda; Insecta; Lepidoptera; Bombycidae.